RNAcentral lists this ribosomal RNA (636 nucleotides) under uncultured fungus. RNAcentral describes it as "eukaryotic LSU rRNA". It matches the Rfam family "Eukaryotic large subunit ribosomal RNA", at positions 23 to 641 of the family's 3401-position model. Lineage: Eukaryota; Fungi. The record is from RNAcentral.
ACCCGCUGAACUUAAGCAUAUCAAUAAGCGGAGGAAAAGAAACUAACAAGGAUUCCCCUAGUAACUGCGAGUGAAGCGGGAAAAGCUCAAAUUUAAAAUCUGGUAGUCUUUGGCUGCCCGAGUUGUAAUCUAGAGAAGUGUUACCCGUGCUGGACCGUGUACAAGUCUCCUGGAAUGGAGCGUCAUAGAUGGUGAGAAUCCCGUCUUUGACACGGACUCCCAGUGCUUUUGUGGUGCGCUCUCAACGAGUCGAGUUGUUUGGGAAUGCAGCUCAAAAUGGGUGGUGAAUUCCAUCUAAAGCUAAAUAUUGGCGAGAGACCGAUAACGAACAAGUACCGUGAGGGAAAGAUGAAAAGAACUUUGGAAAGAGAGUUAAACAGUACGUGAAAUUGUUGAAAGGGAAACGCUUGAAGUCAGUCGCGUUGUCCAGAAAUCAACCUUGGUUCUCCUGGGUGUACUUUCUAGUUCAACGGGUCAGCAUCAGUUUUGAUCGAUGGAGAAAGUCCAAGGGAAUGUGGCAUCUUCGGAUGUGUUAUAGCCCUCGGUCGUAUGCAUCGGUUGGGACUGAGGAAUUCAGCACGCCGCCAGUCCGGGGUUCGCCCACGUACGUGCUUAGGAUGCUAGCAUAAUGGCUUU